Molecule: ribosomal RNA, 912 nt
Filed under: Acinetobacter baumannii
Lineage: Bacteria; Pseudomonadati; Pseudomonadota; Gammaproteobacteria; Moraxellales; Moraxellaceae
Description: bacterial SSU rRNA
Rfam family: Bacterial small subunit ribosomal RNA
Source: RNAcentral
UUUUUUAAUUAGAGGUUUUGAAUUCAUGAGUCUGAUUGAACGGCUGGCAGGCAGGAAUUACACACAUGCAAGUGCGAGUCGCACAAAGAUAGCUUGUCUACUGGACCUAGCGGCGGACGGGUGAGUAAUGCUUUAGGAAUACUGCCUAUUAGUGGGGGGACAACAUCUCGAAAGGGAUAGCUAAUACCGCAUACGUCCUACGGGAGAAAGCAGGGGAUCUUCGGACCUUGCGCUAAUAGAUGAGCCUAAGUCGGGAUUAGCUAGUUGGUGGGGUAAAGGCCUCCCAAGGCGACGAUUUGUAGCGGGUUUGAGAGGAUGAUCCGCCACCCUGGGAAUGAGACCCGGCCCAGACUCCUACGGGAGGCAGCAGUGGGGAAUAUUGGACAAUGGGGGGAACCCUGAUCCAACCAUGCCGCGGGGGUGAAGAAGGCCUUAUGGUUGUAAAGCCCUUUUAGCGAGGAGGAGGCUACUUUAGUUAAUUCCUAGAGAUAGUGGACGUUACUCGCAGAAUAAGCACCGGCUAACUCUGUGCCAGCAGCCGCGGUAAUACAGAGGGUGCGAGCGUUAAUCGGAUUUACUGGGCGUAAAGCGCGCGUAGGCGGUUUAUUAAGUCGGAUGUGAAAUCCCCGAGCUCAACUUGGGAAUUGCAUUCGAUACUGGCGAGCUAGAGUAUGGGAGAGGAGGGUAGAAUUCCAGGUGUAGCGGUGAAAUGCGUAGAGAUCUGGAGGAAUACCGAUGGCGAAGGCAGCCACCUGGCCAAAUACUGACGCUGAGGUACGAAAGCAUGGGGAGCAAACAGGAUUAGAUACCCUGGUAGUCCAUGCCGUAAACGAUGUCUACUAGCCGUUGGGGCCUUUGAGGCUUUAGUGGCGCAGCUAACGCGAUAAGUAGACCGCCUGGGAGAUGGCAACU